UACGAAGGGUGCAAGCGUUGUUCGGAAUUACUGGGCGUAAAGCGCGCGUAGGCGGCUUGCUAAGUCAGACGUGAAAGCCCUGGGCUCAACCCGGGAAUUGCGUUUGAUACUGGCGAGCUUGAGAUUCAGAGAGGUGAGUGGAAUUCCUAGUGUAGAGGUGAAAUUCGUAGAUAUUGGGAAGCACACCAGUGGCGCCGGCGGCUCCCUUUCUGAACACUGACGCUAAAGCCCAAAAGCGUGGUUAGCAAACAGG
RNAcentral lists this ribosomal RNA (253 nucleotides) under uncultured bacterium. RNAcentral's name for it is "partial 16S ribosomal RNA". It matches the Rfam family "Bacterial small subunit ribosomal RNA", at positions 524 to 776 of the family's 1533-position model. The record is from RNAcentral.